This 35-nucleotide ribosomal RNA is filed under the name Climacium dendroides. RNAcentral's name for it is "partial 23S ribosomal RNA". RNAcentral also lists the same sequence under 3 other names. The record is from RNAcentral. Lineage: Eukaryota; Viridiplantae; Streptophyta; Bryopsida; Hypnales; Climaciaceae.
UAAGUAGGAAGCCCACCUCAAGAUGAGUGCUCUCC